UUCCUGCUGCCGCUCUAGCUCCUGCCGCUGCUGCUCCAGCUCCUGCUCUGACCCCAGGUCCACUGGCAUGAGCUCCAGUUCCACCUCUUCCUCCUCCUCUGGCUCCAGUGGAGGAGGCUGCUGCUGCUGUAGCUGUUCCUGAUGCUGUUGCAAUAGCUGUUGCUGUUGCUGCUGCUGUAACUGCUCCUGCUGCUGCAGCAAUAGCUGCUGCUGUAUCUGUGCCUGCUGCUGCUGCAGGAGCUGCUGCUGUAACUGUGCCUGUUGUUGGUGCUGCAACAACUG
RNAcentral lists this small RNA (282 nucleotides) under Marmota monax (woodchuck). Lineage: Eukaryota; Metazoa; Chordata; Mammalia; Rodentia; Sciuridae. The record is from RNAcentral.